This 254-nucleotide ribosomal RNA is filed under the name uncultured bacterium. RNAcentral's name for it is "partial 16S ribosomal RNA". It matches the Rfam family "Bacterial small subunit ribosomal RNA", at positions 524 to 776 of the family's 1533-position model. The record is from RNAcentral.
UACAGAGGGUGCAAGCGUUAUCCGGAUUUAUUGGGCGUAAAGCGUUUCGUAGGCCGGUUUGUAAGUUACUUUUUAAAGACCACGGCUCAACCGGGGGAAGGGAAGUAAUACUGCAAAUCUUGAAGAAUGAUGGGGCUUCUGGAACUGAUGGUGUAGUAGUGAAAUACGUUGAUAUCAUCAGGAACUCCGAGGGCGAAGGCAGGAAGCUAAUCAUUAUUUGACGCUGAGGAACGACAGCUAGGGGAGCGAAAGGG